GACGAACGCUGGCGGCGUGCUUAACACAUGCAAGUCGAACGGUGAAGCGCCUUCCUUUUUGGUGGGUGUGGAUGAGUGGCGAACGGGUGAGUAACACGUGAGUAACCUGCCCCCUUCUUCUGGAUAACCGCAUGAAAGUGUGGCUAAUACGGGAUAUUCUGGGUCUGUCGCAUGAUGGGUCUGGGAAAGAUAUUGUUUCGGUGGGGGAUGGGCUCGCGGCCUAUCAGCUUGUUGGUGGGGUGAUGGCCUACCAAGGCGGUGACGGGUAGCCGGCCUGAGAGGGUGGACGGUCACACUGGGACUGAGACACGGACCAGACUGCUACGGGGGGCAGCAGUGGGGAAUAGUGCACAAUGGGCGCAAGCGUGAUGCAGCGACGCCGCGGGAGGGAUGGAGGCCUUCGGGUUGUGAACCUCUUUCGCCAGUGAAGCAGGCCUGCCUCGUUUGUGGGUGGGUUGACGGUAGCUGGAUAAGAAGCGCCGGCUAACUACGUG
RNAcentral lists this ribosomal RNA (494 nucleotides) under uncultured bacterium. Its description in RNAcentral is "partial 16S ribosomal RNA". It matches the Rfam family "Bacterial small subunit ribosomal RNA", at positions 28 to 507 of the family's 1533-position model. The record is from RNAcentral.